UGAUAUUUAUCAUUUCAUAAACCUCAGUAAGAGAGACAACGGGAAAGAUACAUGACGACAAACAAGGAAGCGACAACUUACAGUCAGAAAGGCAAAAAAAAGGAAGCCACAACCUAUAGUCAAAAAGGCAAAGAGGGAACCCGCAGCUUAUAGUCAAAAGGCAUUUCCUGUUACCAGAGCCAUCCAUCAAAAUCUAGCUUUUCCGGAAGACCCAUUAUAUAUAGUACCGAUUUCAAAACCCAUCGAGGCAAACUUUAAAAGCUUGAUCGAUGCUCUCCAAAAACCUAGGCGAGAACGCAAAAAUAAAACGCCUUCUCGUAUCAGUUCAUCAAACCCCCCUUUUCCUUUUUUCCCCUCCUCCCCCCGUCCGUGUAAACUUCAGCGUCAAUUAGCAAACUGGUUAUCGCCCAAGACAAUACCAAUCGCGAGCAGCGCGCACACAGAAAAAGAAAAAGGCACCACCUUUGCGAAAACGCAAGACGCAAUCUUAUGCGCACACGAGAAAUG
This 507-nucleotide long non-coding RNA is filed under the name Eucalyptus grandis. Its description in RNAcentral is "long non-coding RNA (EGRA_LNC006484)". The record is from RNAcentral. Lineage: Eukaryota; Viridiplantae; Streptophyta; Magnoliopsida; Myrtales; Myrtaceae.